GCCAGGCACAGUGGCACGUGCCUGUAGUCCCAGCUACUCGGGAGGCUGAGGUAGGAGGAUUGCUUGAGCCCAGGAGGUUGAGGCUGCAGUGAGCUGUGACUGCGCCACUGCGCUCCAGCCUGGGCGACGGAGCGAGACCCUGUCUCAA
Unclassified non-coding RNA from Pongo abelii (Sumatran orangutan), 148 nucleotides. It matches the Rfam family "Metazoan signal recognition particle RNA". Rfam says of the family: The signal recognition particle (SRP) is a universally conserved ribonucleoprotein. The record is from Ensembl. NCBI's taxonomy places the organism in Eukaryota, Metazoa, Chordata, Mammalia, Primates, Hominidae.